CGGCCAACUACUUGCCUCCACUCUCAGCCUUAAACCUCUCUGUCUUAGUUUUGAACUCUCUCUGUCUUUUUUCACUUGCAUCCUCUGCUCAUGUUAAGUAUCAAGUUCAAAGCGAAUUUGGAGCAUCCUCCAAAGAAGCCACCUUCAAAAGAUCCACUUCAGAAACAACCUUGGGACAAACGUCAGAAUGAUUUGGACCCAACCUUAACUAUGUUUCAUUCCAAACAAAAAUAAUAAAAGCUUUUCUAUGGCUCAUAAUAUCUCUCUUCUAGGAAUUCAAAGAUCCUCAUCUAAAAGUCAUCAUGGCAAUGAUAAGUUGUAUAAACAAGAGAAGCAAGACAACAAGUAUGCAAAGUUCAUCUCUGUGUCAACUUUUGUGUUUCUUCCCAUACUUGUAUGUAGUUUGAUAGUUUAAUAUUUUGAAUAAUUAAUAGCAUAAUAUUUAGACUUCCUAAACCUUUUGGAAUAUUUUGUUCUAAAUUUUAAGAAUAUUGUUGUAAGACAAGUUAAGUUUUAAUUUAAUUAUGUUUUUGUGUUUUGCA
This is a long non-coding RNA of Lactuca sativa (garden lettuce), 542 nucleotides long. RefSeq lists it as uncharacterized. Lineage: Eukaryota; Viridiplantae; Streptophyta; Magnoliopsida; Asterales; Asteraceae. The record is from RefSeq and is a predicted model, not a curated record.